This 14284-nucleotide long non-coding RNA is filed under the name Oryza sativa (Asian cultivated rice). RNAcentral's name for it is "long non-coding RNA (OSAT_LNC001571)". The record is from RNAcentral. Lineage: Eukaryota; Viridiplantae; Streptophyta; Magnoliopsida; Poales; Poaceae.
AUUGGGGAAGACGCGGUAGAACUGGUAGUUGAUCUUGUACUUGGAGCGGAGCCUGGUGCCCAGGGCCAGGCACUGCUCCUUCCUGGCCAGCUUCAGCAGGUUGGGGCCCUCGCGCAUGAUGGCGGCGCCGCCCGUGGGCAUCUCGAACACCUGCUCCUUGGGCGACGUCCAUGUGAUGACGUAGAACUCCUCCACCUGCGCCUUCCGGAGGAGUCCCCCCGUGCUCCCGCCGAAGAUCGGGGACGGCGUGUUGGGGUCCAGCUGCGGCGGCACGAACCCCGCGGGGGCUGGCUUCUUCUCCUCCGUCGCCGCCGCGGCGGGCUGAUCCUCCGCCGCCGCUCUGAGGGAGGUGGGUGCCCUCGAGGUGGGCAUGGAGAGGGUGGAUGAGCGCGGCUUCGCCGGUGCCCAGGCGGCGAGGAGGUGGCACUUGGCGGCGGAGGCUUGCGUGGCCAUGGCCAUGGUGGUCGGAGGAGGAGAGAGGAGGGUACCGUGUGGUGGAUUCGAUUCGAGUGGUGUGGUGUGGAGGAGAGAGAUAUCGGAGAUGGAGUAAGAAGAAGAGAGGGGAAAUGGGUGAGGAAGUGGAUAAGGGGAUAUGAGGUUGGCCAAUGGCGGGUAGGGAUUUUGAUACGCGGCCUCCACACAUGCAUGUCACCGUGGCACUGGCCCCUCCCUCCCUAUCUGAUGUGGCAUCUGUCAGUGUGUCGUUCUUCGGCGCUAUACCCUCGUGGAUGGCAGCCACAAACCCAUGCAGCGCUCCAUCUGCAGCCUCACUGACGCCACGGCUAGUAGAGGAGAUCUACAAGGUGGCAGAGAGGAGCUCCAUGGCUCAUGGCAUGGCUAUCGAACAACAAGGUUGGAGGAAGAAAACUAGAAAAGUGGCUGCCUGGUUGGUGUUAGGGCACCCACAAUGUUAUAAAAUACCAGAUAGUAAGCAUUAAAUGGCUUCUUACUACCUGGUAUUAGCUAUUGUGGAAGUGGUACAUAGUUAAAGCCAGCAAGUAGCACUACUGCCGGUAAAAAGGGAAUAAAAAAAUAGAAUGUGUACAGUGGAGUUCUGACAACAAAUUUUAAAUUGCAAGUAGCCAUUGCUGCUUCCAACCGUUGCUCUCCUCCCUAGCCAACCGUUGCAUGGACUGUUCUUCUUAUCAUCUUCAUCCCCUACAAAAAUAGAGAUGGCUCAGGAUUUCUUUAAAUCAACACAAACACAUUUUGUGAAACUUAGCUAGCUGAGAGCCUGAGAUGGAUCCCUCCAAGAGAGGUUUCAUGAACUUGUUAAAACAAGGCUCCCCAAGCCAACAUUCUAGCCAAAACUCCCCUCCUACUUAAUUCCCCUCAACUUUCUCCCAAUCACAAUUUCCCCGAUCCCCACAUUUUACCCAAGCCUCACCACCUAAUUUCCAAACCUUCAACCCUUUUGGUCCUCCAGCCAACUAUCACCUAUAUGGUAGUUCUCCUCCAAACUUUCAAGGUUUUCAGUAGCAAGCAAGCUGGUUACAAUAUGCACCAAUAAGCUUUCAAGGUUUUCAUCCUAAAGAAAGUUGGAUGCACUCACCAUAUCAAGUUGUCGGGUCCGCCUCAUCUCAUGGAUCCAAAUCAGCCUCUCAGUGCCCUGCAAGACAGGAAGAUAACAAUUUGGUUAACAUCGAAAAGUCAAGUGACAAUAGCCAAGAGACAGGGAGAAGAGGGACACGCGUCAAACUGGACCGAAGAAGAAAACUUACGACUCCUCAGCUCUUGGUUGAAUAACUCACUAGAUUCUAUAAAUGGCAAUGACAAGAAGGGAGAAUACUAUUGGAGGGAUGUUGCUGCAGAGUUCAAUGGUAAUACAUCUAGCAAUAACCGCAAAAGGACAGUCGUGCAAUGUAAGACACAUUGGGGUGGUGUUAAGAAGGACAUUGCAAAAUUUUGUGGAGCUUAUUCUCGAGCUAGAAGAACCUGGAGCAGUGGAUUCUCUGAUGAUAUGAUCAUGGAGAAAGCCCAUGCAUUAUAUAAAUCAGAAAACAAUGAUAAAACUUUCACAUUAGAGUAUAUGUGGAGAGAAUUAAAGGAUCAACCAAAAUGGCGACGGAUACUUGAAGAGGACAGCAAGAACAAGAGGACUAAGAUUUCUGAAUCUGGUGCAUAUACAUCAUCAUCCAACCAAGAAACUGAGGAGGAGACCAGCCGAAAAGAGAAGCGUCCUGAAGGGCAGAAAAAAGCCAAAGUCAAGCUUAAAGGGAAAGGAAAAAAACAUGCACCGUCUCCUUUGGGGGACCAGCCAUCUCAAGAUUUUGUUCUCCUCAACGAAGCUGUAAAAUUGAGAGCAGAAGCAGUGCUGAAAUCUACAGAAGCAACCACCAAAUCAGCGGAAGCAAAGAAGGAACAAACUAGGAUGGAGAAGUAUCAGACAUAUUUAAAGUUGUUGGACAAAGACACUGCUAAUUUUAAUGAUGUAAAACUCAAGAGGCAUGAAGCUAUCCUCGAAAAGCUAGCUACAGAACUUGCAGAAGAAUAGAAGAUCCCUAAGUUAUGUUUGUACCCCUAGUACUUAGUGUGUCACUGUUUCAUUAAGUUUAACUUGCUAGUAAUAUUUAGACUUGUGAUAGGUUUGUAGGGCAAGUAAUUGUUGUACUGUGAACUCAGUGAAUGAUGAAUGUAAUAUUUCACUAGUGAGAAGGCAUAUGAAGUCCUGCUUAACAUCAUUGCAGGUCCAAAAAUCUUGCCUUUAGGUUCAUGAGCGUGCCAGUUGAUUUGAUCAUGCAAUCAACAAGAAAUAAAGACAGGAAAAUAGCGGUUAAAUCUAUAAACAAUAGCCGAUCGGCUAGUCGCCGAUCACGUAUCACUUAUCUUUGAGCCGAUGUCAUAUUUGAGUCAAUCGGCAGUCAUAAAUAGGCAAGAAAGAACUAAAUAUAUUCGAUUGGCUGAAGAUAUUAAUGAUAUAUAAUACUUCCGUCGAUAUAUACUUAAAUCAAGUGAUUGGGAUAGAUCGGUCGUCAUGCCGAGACAAUAUAAAUCACUUAGGUCGAAAUAUAUAUUAACAAGGAGAUUAUAAGCAUUCAUAGCAUAGCCGAUCAGAUAGAUCCAGCAUGUAUCGGCUAAUACUCCGAUACUACUUUAUAUUAAGAUAUUAAAGCAAGCAAAAAUAUAUCAAACAGGAAGCUUAAUAUACCUAAAUGCGACAAGAUCUUAACAUAAAGGACGGAUUUAACAUGUCAAUCAAGCAUAUAAAAUAUAAAGUAGUUAAAUCAGGUAAGAUCGGUUGAAACUCCGAUGCUACCCUAAUCGGCAACCAAAAAGCAGGCUAGAGAUUAAGAUUCUAAUCACGACUUAUAAGGUCAAACUCAACUGAUGCAGCUAUAAGUUUGAAAAGAAGGACAAUAUCUUGACAAUCAAGCAUUUGAAUGUUUCAUAGGGUGGUGGAUAUCCUAUAUAAUCUAAGUCAACAUUGAUAUUUAACCUAAUCGACUGCCUUCCAAUGAUAAAUGUUGGCUGAUUGAAGGUUAAAUAACAAUAUUGUCAAAGAUUAUGUAAGAUAUAUGAUAACUCGACGAAUUACAUAAACAAGAUUAGAGUAUCAUAAAGAUGGAAGCACUAAUCCCGAGAACACAAGCCGCCAUAACAAGUUUUACCUCUAGUUGAACAUCGAAACCGAUGCAGCUCAACCCGAAAGCAAGAACUCGUCGAAAGUAAACGAAAGUAAAAGGGUGGCGAUGCGCUGAGAUUGUAUUGAACGUGUGUUAAUUGAUUACAUGGAUUUGGGUCAUAUUUAUACCCGAGAUACAAAAUAUGUCUUUGCUGGACACGACACUUAUCUCUAACAAACUCUAAGAUACCAUAAGUCUUUGCGGCAGACUUUUGUCCAAACAUAUCUCUAAGGAAAUUACAUAAGAUAUCCUAAUUAAUAGAUACAAUUGCCUAAACCGAAAGCUUUAUCUCCAUCAUGGCAAUCCCUGUGAAGCACUUUGAACGAUUCUAGAAAUAGCCUUGAAACUUGUCGGUGAUAUGGGACCGGGAGUAUUGCGCCCGGAGGCUUGAGGCAGAUGGAAUCGCCCACGUGGCCUGGCACCUUCGGGGACGUCGGGCCCGAGGGUGAGGUGUCCGCCCUCCUCCUGAUCUCCCCGAGGGGGGGUCGGGUUGCUCCUGCCCCGGCCCCGAGGGCCGAGGUGCCCCGACCCCUUGUGGGGUUUGCACUAUGUACAUAGGUUGGGUGAACACGGUAGGGCUCACCUAACCGCAUUUAUUGCGGUCUGGUCAAGCGUGUCACGCUGCAUGCAGCGCAAUGCAGCGCGCUCUUUUAUCCGGUCUGUGACCAGUCACAGACCGGUCAGAUCAACGGUUAGGUGGCGACUGGCGGUCUGACGCACGCCUCGCCCCGUUCCGUCAAGACGAGAGCCUCUAGGCACACGUCUCCAGCCGGAGCUAGCGUGUUACCUCUUAGAGAUGGCACGUUAGCCCUGGUUAGAUGAAUACCAGGCUUCAUCCCAACCAUUACAGGCAAGAUGCUACAAAAAGAAGGGUGAUCAUGCAGAUCGCUGAACUGACGCAUAGAGGACAAGAAUGACCGAUCUGUGACCGGCCUGACACUGGUCGCGUCAGCAACAGACAGCCACGAUCCCACGUUGCGCCUGUCUCCGCCGGGAGUGGAGGUAGGUGUGGGCUGUCCCAUCGAAGUGUCAUUCGGACGGCAACCAUACCAAUCUCCGUCCAUAAAGAGAAGAAAAGUCCAGUUUGGAAAGGGAAGGGUACAUGUGGUAUCCCCUUAAGAUAUAAAAGGAGGACCAUGCCCACAAAGAGAGGUGACUGGAUUUUCCCGGGAGAGGAGAGGGCUGGUUGAUAUUUUGUAACUUGCUCUUACACAGAUCCACCAAAAACACAGGAGUAGGGUAUUACGCUUCCCAGCGGCCCGAACCUGUAUACAUCGUCCGUGUCUCGCGUUUCUUCCUGGCACGCGAUCUUUCCACAUACAGAGAGAGCUUGAGAUCUCACCCUAAGCCCCCGGCCGAACUGGCAAAGGGGGGCCUGCGCGGUCUCCCGGUGAGGAGCCACGAGCUCCGUCAUCUGGCGCGCCAGGUAGGGGGCUCAGCGUGUGUUUUCUGAGCUCUCAUACUCUUCCGUGUGCGCCAAGUUUCCCUUGUUCAGCCUAAUGGCCGAGCAAGCAAAGGCGCACGACCUCUCUCCGAGUGUGAGCGGCGACGACGGGGAGCCAAACCCGCGCCGUCGAGCUCGUACUCCCCCACCUCCUCCACGCCAAAGUCCUAAGCGGGGGGAGGCGCUCGAGAGGGUUGAAAAACCCAUAGCAUCACCAGUCGCAGGUGAUGCAGGAGAGCGGCGAGACGGGAAGCGUCGCCUCCUCGUCUACGGUGACGGCAGCACGCCCCAGGGAGUGCUUCAGGCUGCUGGCGCGCUCCUACGUCACCCGCCUGUCGUCCCUGACCCGGAGUCUCCAGCCCAGCGAUGGCUGGACGACGUGGCCAACUUGGUCAUGACGGCACAGCAGCGCCUGGGUGCUGGUGGACGGUCCGCCACCACCAAGACCUCCGGCGCCGCCACUACCGGUUCCGUGUCGUCAAGACGGAGGGCGCGGCGAGCGGCGGCUGCUGCACGCCAUUCGGCUACCACUCCCUCGUCGGCGCCUCCGACUCGGGAGGAUCAGCAUGAAGAGCCGGAUGCCCGCCUCGACAUCGAGCGCCGACGUAGUGAUCGGCGUGCUCCCCGCGCAACGGAGGGUGCCUCUUCGUCCAGGGUGUCACCUCGACAUGGACGUGAGGACCAGCCCUCCGUGCCCCCGGUUGGUGGUGUUGGCUGUAGAGCCUUUGUGGCGAGUCUUCGGAAUGUCCGUUGGCCCCCAAGGUUCCGGCCCACCAUCACCGAGAAGUAUGAUGGGAGCGUCAACCCCACCGAGUUUCUCCAGGUCUAUACGACCGGGAUCGAGGCCGCUGGGGGAGACGACAGGGUCAUGGCGAAUUUCUUUCCCAUGGCCCUGAAGGGACAGGCGCGGGGUUGGCUAAUGAACCUGCCACCCGCGUCGGUCCACUCCUGGGAGGAUCUGUGCCAGCAGUUCACCAUGAACUUUCAAGGCACCUAUCCACGCCCAGGUGAAGAAGCGGACUUGCACGCAGUACAGCGAGGGGAUGAUGAAUCCCUUCGCUCGUACAUUCAGCGUUUCUGCCAAGUCCGCAAUACUAUACCUUGCAUCCCUGCACACGCGGUGAUCUACGCGUUCAGGGGGGGUGUGCGGCACAACCGCAUGCUCGAAAAGAUUGCCUCCAAAGAGCCCCAGACUACCGCAGAACUUUUUCAGCUCGCGGACCGAGUGGCUCGUAAGGAGGAGGCCUGGACCUGGAACCCCUCCGGUUCCGGUGUGGCAGCUUCGGCCGCCCCCGGAUCCGCCGCUCAGACAGGGCGGCGUGACAGGAGGAGGAAGAAAAGGUCGGUCCAUUCCGGCGACGAGGGUCACGUCCUCGCCGUCGAGGGCGCUCUGCGGGCCACCCGAAAGGGGAGGCCUGCGAGCGACAAAAAGAAAGAGGCUGGUACUCCCAGCAGGGAGCGCCCAGCCAGCAAGUGGUGCUCCGUCCACAACACCUCCCUCCACGAUCUCGCGGACUGUCGCGCAGUCAAAAACUUGGCUGAGCGAACGAGGAAGUGGGAGGAGGACAGGAGGCAGGAACGCCGUGAGGGCAAGUCCGCGGCAGUUCCCUCCGGUAAACGGCGAAGUGAGGCCAAACAGAAGGCCCCCGCCGUUGACAUCGAUGACGGUGAUGAUGACCUAGGUUUCCAAGAACCUGGGGCCACCAUUGCCACUGUCGACGGGGGAGCGUGUGCUCACGUUUCUCGCCGGGGUUUCAAGGCCAUGAGGCGAGAGCUUCUCGCCGCGGCCCCUACUCAUGAGGCGACGCGUCGGGCGCGGUGGUCGGAGGUGGCCCUCACCUUUGACCAGACCGACCACCCACCGUGCGUUGCCCGGGGAGGGCAGGUUGCGAUGGUGGUUUCCCCCACCAUCUGCAAUGUGAAGUUGGGGCGUGUCCUCAUAGAUGGAGGAGCGGCUCUCAACAUCCUUUCCCCCGCGGCCUUUGAUGCUAUCAAGGCCCCGGGGAUGGUGCUCCAGCCGUCUCAACCGAUCAUCGGUGUGACGCCGGGGCACACAUGGCCGUUAGGUCACAUCGACCUACCGGUCACCUUUGGUGGAUCAGCCAACUUCCGCACGGAGCGGGUGAACUUCGAUGUGGCGGAACUCAGUCUGCCCUACAACGCGGUCCUGGGGAGGCCCGCGUUGGUGAAGUUUAUGGCGGCGGUCCACUACGCCUACCUCCAGAUGAAGAUGCCGGGCCCCGGUGGCCCCAUCUCUGUCCGUGGCGACCUUAAAGUCGCGCUCGCUUGCAUGGAGCAGCGCGCGGACCACCUCGCUGCUGCGACCAAGCCCGAGGGUGGUGACGAGAGGCUUGGCACCUCCGCCCCCACCGCCCCGAGGCAGCGGAUUGCCACAUGCGACGAGGUCCCGGUCAAGGAGGUUGCCUUGGGCGACGGCCCAUCCAAGACCACACGGAUCGGUGGUCUUCUGGAUGGCAAAUAGGAAGACGCGCUCGUCUCCUUCCUGCGGGCAAACGCUGACGUCUUCGCAUGGAGACCAGCGGACAUGCCCGGGGUCCCCAGGGAGGUGAUUGAGCACCGUCUCGCCGUGCGGCCGGGCGCAAGGCCGGUCCGGCAGAAAGUGCGGCGGCAGGCCCCGGAACGUCAAGCCUUCAUCCGCGAGGAGGUGGCGAGACUUCUGGAGGCCGGAUUCAUCCGUGAAGUCAUCCAUCCGGAGUGGCUGGCGAACCCGGUGGUCGUUCCCAAGGCGAACGGCAAGCUUCGGAUGUGCAUCGACUACACCGACCUUAACAAGGCAUGUCCUAAGGAUCCUUACCCCCUGCCUCGCAUAGAUCAGAUCGUCGACUCCACUGCGGGGUGCGACCUUUUGUGUUUUCUAGAUGCAUACUCUGGUUACCAUCAGAUUCGCAUGGCUAGGGAGGAUGAGGAGAAAACUGCGUUCAUUACCCCCGUAGGAACCUAUUGUUAUACAUCAAUGCCCUUCGGGUUAAAGAAUGCAGGUCCUACUUUUCAACGUACUACUCGAAUUUCUUUGGGUAGCCAAAUAGGACGUAAUGUUGAGGCUUAUGUCGAUGACUUGGUUGUAAAAACGCGCAACCAAGAAACUUUACUUUCAGAUCUAGCGGAAACUUUUGAGAACCUCCGCUCCGCCCGCAUAAAGCUGAACCCCGAUAAGUGUGUGUUUGGUGUACCUGCGGGCAAGCUUCUCGGGUUCUUGGUCUCUGCCCGAGGCAUUGAGGCCAACCCCGAGAAGAUUCGAGCUAUCGAGCGGAUGCGCCCCCCCAGCAAACUUAGGGAUGUGCAAUGCGUCACCGGUUGCAUGGCCGCCCUAAGUCGUUUCAUAUCAAGGCUGGGAGAGAAGGCGCUACCCUUGUUUAAGCUCCUCAAGCGCUCGGGGCCGUUUACUUGGACGGAGGAAGCUGAACAUGCCCUCACUCAGUUAAAGGCAUAUCUCAGCUCUCCCCCGGUUCUAGUCGCCCCGGAGCCAAAUGAGCCCCUGCUACUUUACUUAGCGGCGACCCCCCAAGUAGUUAGUGCAGCGUUGGUUGUGGAGCGCGAUGAAGACAAUCCUCAUUUCGUGCACCCCCAUUCUGUGCUAACUUGGCCCGGGAGCGAGCGGGGAGGAGAGGCCCCCGAGUCGGACGGUGGCCUACGGCCCCUGACGACCGGAGUCGGCCCUCUGCCCGCUUGUCAGACGGUGCUAGGUGCCCCCGACCCUCAGGAGGGCCCCAAGGCCACUGCGGGAAGGCCGCACUUAACGCCCUUUGACCCCGAGGCUAACCCUGUGCUGACUCGACCCGGGAAAGAGCAGGGAGAAGAGGCCCCCGAGCCGAACGGAGGCCAGAGGCCCCUGACGACCGGAGUUGGCCCUUUGCCCGCUUGUCCGACGAUGCCAGGAGUCCCCGACCCCCAGGACGGCCCCGAGGCCACUGAGGGAAGGCCGCCCCUUUCAUCCUCCGACCCCGAGGUCAUCGGCACAGAAGACAAGUGCGCCCCGAAAGGCCACUUGAACGAAGAACGCCCCGGGGAUACGGCCCCUAGCAGAGAGGAUCGGCCCCACCGAAGGGUGCAGCGGCCUGUCUACUUUGUUAGUGAGGCCCUCCGGGACGCUAAGACCCGAUACCCUCAGGCCCAGAAGAUGCUUUACGCUAUUCUGAUGGCCUCGAGGAAACUGCGCCAUUAUUUUCAGGCACAUAGGGUCACUGUGGUUACGUCUUACCCCCUCGGUCAAAUCUUGCAUAAUCGAGAGGGUACAGGACGGGUGGUAAAAUGGGCAAUCGAGCUUUCUGAAUUCGAUCUGCGCUUUGAACCACGCCACGCUAUCAAGAGCCAGGCCCUCGCCGAUUUUGUGGCAGAGUGGACCCCGGCUCCAGAGACCGUCUCAAUCCCCGAGGCCAGCACGAACCCCUCGCAGCUGCCUCACACCACCCACUGGGUGAUGCAGUUCGAUGGUUCUCUGUCCCUCCAGGGUGCCGGUGCGGGGGUCACGUUGACCUCCCCGACCGGAGACGUCCUUAGAUAUCUGGUCCGCCUCGACUUUCGAGCGACCAAUAAUAUGGCAGAGUACGAGGGACUCCUUGCCGGACUCAGGGUGGCAGCCGGACUGGGGAUCCGCCGUCUCCUGGUGUUAGGCGAUUCCCAGCUGGUCGUUAACCAGGUCUGUAAGGAGUACCGGUGCUCUGACCCGCAAAUGGACGCCUAUGUACGCCAAGUGCGGCGUAUGGAGCGCCAUUUUGACGGGAUAGAGCUUCGGCAUGUGCCCAGACGGGAUAACAUGAUAGCCGACGAACUCUCACGGCUCGCGUCCUCGCGAGCCCAGACCCCACCGGGCGCCUUUGAAGAAAGGCUUACCCAGCCGUCGGCGCGACCCGACCCCUUAGGGGAGACGGAUGCGCCUGACCGGCCCCCGAGGCCCGUCGGAGUCCAGGCCUCGGGACCCGAAGGGAGCGCUCCAAGCUCCCUUAGAUUGAUUGCUUGGAUCUCUGAGAUCCAAACAUACCUCACAGAUAAGACUCUACCUGAGGACCGCGAAGGGAGUGAACGCGUACAACGCAUUUCCAAACGCUAUGUGCUGGUAGAAGGGACCCUCUAUCGGCGCGCGGCUAACGGAAUCCUCCUGAAGUGCAUUCCUCAGGAACAAGGCGUUGAGCUUCUUGCUGACAUCCAUGAGGGCGAGUGCGGAGCCCAUUCCGCCUCGCGCACCCUGGUUGGCAAGGCCUUUCGUCAAGGAUUUUAUUGGCCGACAGCUCUCAAUGAUGCAGUCGAUCUGGUCCGGCGAUGCAGAGCGUGUCAGUUCCACGCCAAGCAAAUCCAUCAGCCGGCCCAGGCCCUGCAGAUCAUACCACUGUCAUGGCCAUUUGCUGUCUGGGGGCUUGAUAUCCUGGGACCGUUCAAACGGGCCCCGGGCGGGUUUGAGUAUCUGUAUGUUGCGAUCGACAAGUUCACUAAGUGGCCCGAGGCUUAUCCGGUUGUCAAGAUCGAUAAGCACUCUGCUCUUAAAUUCAUUAAGGGCAUCACGGCCCGUUUUGGAGUGCCUAACCGUAUUAUUACGGAUAAUGGCACCCAAUUCACUAGUGAACUCUUCGGCGACUACUGCGAAGACAUGGGCAUCAAGCUCUGCUUCGCCUCACCUGCCCACCCCAGAAGCAAUGGCCAAGUGGAGCGCGCCAAUGCAGAAAUCCUCAAAGGCCUUAAAACCAAGACCUUCAAUAUUCUCAAGAAGCACGGCGAUUCAUGGAUCGAGGAGUUGCCAGCGGUGCUCUGGGCAAACCGAACCACACCAAGCCGAGCGACCGGGGAAACGCCUUUCUUCCUCGUCUACGGCGCAGAAGCGGUUCUCCCAUCCGAGCUCACCCUGAGGUCUCCUCGGGCCACCAUGUACUGCGAGGCUGAUCAAGAUCAGCUUCGUAGAGAUGACCUCGACUACUUGGAAGAGCGAAGGCGGCGCGCGGCCCUCCGAGCCGCGCGCUACCAGCAGAGCCUGCGGCGCUACCAUCAGCGCCACGUCCGGGCCCGAUCACUCUGCGUCGACGACCUCGUCCUACGCCGCGUCCAAACGCGUGCUGGACUGAGCAAGCUCUCACCAAUGUGGGAGGGUCCGUAUCGAGUGAUCGGCGUCCCCCGGCCGGGCUCCGUACGGCUGGCCACGGGCGACGGCACUGAGCUGCCAAACCCGUGGAACAUCGAACACCUUCGUCGCUUCUACCCCUGAGGGGGGGGUCGGGUGUCAGGUUUCGGGCUCGGGCUAACCCCGCACCCCCCUCGGGUGUGCAGGGUUAGCCGGGGGCUACCACACAUGCACAGCCUUACUUUUCUUAUUUCAGCAUUUCAAUAAAAGCAGUUUCAAUUUCCUAAAGGUUGUGUAUGUGCCGUUUUUCCUUCUGAAGAAUCUUAACUUGAAAUAAGGUCACUUGUGCUCAACCUUGCCCUCGGGGGCUCGGUUCGGUCAGCUAAAAUCGCCAAGCGGGGCCCAGAACCGAGCCGUGCCCCGGGGCGUGGUGAACUCCGGGGGGGAAUCGGCAAAAACCCACAAUCGGGUCACCCAUAACCCUCGGUCACCAUGUUCCCGGCCUGGCCAGUCUCGACAUGUGGAUCUCCCCAGGCACUAGCCCCGACCCGAGCCAUUUGAGGAUCGGGACUUGAGCACGAGCCCUUAAAUCAAGCUAAAAUGCAAAAGGACCACGGCACAAAUCACCCUCAACUCAUAUGCAUAGCAAAAUAAAGUUAACAUAGAAAUUUUUCAUCAUUUUUGAUUGCAGAUUAAGUUGAUCUAUACAAAAAGAAGAAAGAAAAAGAAAAAAUUGGAGAUUGGCGGGGGCCUGGGGGCUCAUUCCAAUGCGCCCGGGUCGCCGGCCUCGUCGCCACCGUCGUCCUCACCGCUGGCGUCGCCCUCCUCGUCGGAGCUGGGGGCGAACGCGAGCCGAGGGGCCGACCCCUCGAAGCUUUGGACGAUGUGGUUGGCGGCAUCCCGGACCCGCGCGCGCGCAUCGUCCUCGGUCCCGGGAGGGAACUCCUCCAGCGCCAUCCAUGGGGAGAAGCCGGGGUCCCUGGCCUGGUAACUCGCUAACACGAGUUCCACCGCUCCUUGGGCGAGGUCCCUCGAGGAUGACUUGAUGGUCUUCUCGAGCUCCUCGGGGAGUUGUUGGACAGCCCAGGCCAUCCUCCUAAGGUGCGGGGCGAGGCCUUCCAGAUUGGUGGAGCGCGAAAUUGUCUGGCCUUUCCAGAGGCCCGCUUCCCGACCGGCGCGAUCCAGCCGGGAGACUGCAUCCCAAAGCAUGCCGGGCCCUAUCUCACCCGACAAGCGGAGGGCCUCGGCUUCCCCGGUGGAUGAGUCCAGGGCGCGCUGCAUGUCCGCGACGGUGUGUUCGGCAGCUGCGAGGCGGGCGACUAAGUCGCUUUCGCCCGUAGCCGCCCCGCCGCUGCGCUCCUUCGCGUCCAGCUCCUUUUCUCGCGCCUCGAGGUUAGCAGCCCGCUGCUCCAGCGCGGCUCUCUCGGCGCGGACGCAUUCCAGAUUGCGGCGCGCCUGCUCCUCCUGCGCUGCCUCGCGGAGGGACAGGCUGUCCGCCAGCCGUUGUGUCGCGGCCUCGGACUCCUCAAGAGCUCGCUCCCGCUCAGCAAGCGCGUCCUCGCGGAGCCGGAGCGCGGACUCCUCUUCGGCGCAGGCGGCCUCGUGCGCCGCCAGCGUCGCCUCCCGGAUAGCGGCGGCGGCCUCGCGGUCCGCCAAGCUGGUCUCCACGGCGCCGGCAUGAUCUUCCAGCGCCAUGGCACGGGCUUCAAGGGCCUCUUCGCGCCGCCGGGACGCCGCUUCAGCCUCCGUUGCUCGCUGCUCUCGGGCAGCGGCGGCGUCAAGGACCCCCUGGGCGGCGUCGAGCUUUUUCUUUAGCUCCGCCUCCCAGCUCCCGUGUUGAAGGCGGAGGGAGUCCUGCGCCUCAAUCAUCGCGGUGGUGGCGAUGAGGGCGGCCUCUCGCUCCUCCUCCACCUCUCGGGCGAUCUCCGCCAGCGCCGCCUUGCGGGCUUCAAGCUCCGAGAUGUGGCGGCGGUGAGCCUUACGGCCCACCUCCACCAUGGCGUCCACCGAGCGCCGCCCCUCCUCGACGCGCGCCCAUGCGGCCUCGAGCUCCGCUCGUUCCGCUCGCAAGGCCUCCACCUGGGCGCUGAAUCCAUCUAGCACCGCGGUGUUUGCGGCGGCCAAGGCUUGCAGAAGGGGCUCGGCACUCAGCGGGGCGGCAGAAGACGAGGAGAAGAGCCGCCUUGGAGAAAAUGCGACGCGGCUCGGCCCGCCAGAAGACGCACUGAGCUCGGGGAUGUCCCCCGGACCCGUUUGGUCCUGGGCGUCGCCCGAGGGAGCGGGCCCAGGCGAUGCGCCCGCGGCCUUGUCGCAAGCCGCCCCGGAGGUUGUCGCCUGAGCGUCACCCGAGGGAGUGGGCCCGAGCGACGCGCCGGCGGUCUUGUCGUGAACCGCCUCGGAAGACGCCAUCGCCUCAGCCUGGCGAGCCCGGGCGGUUUCCUCCCGAGUGGCUUCUUCAGCCUGACGAGCCCGGGCGGCCUCCUCCCGAGCAGCUUCUUCGGCUUGGCGAGCCCGGGCGGCCUCCUCCCGAGCGGUAUCCUCCGCCUGCCGAACCCGAGCGGCCUCCCGGGCGGCCUCUUCAGCUUCCCGAAGGCGAUCUGCGGCCUCUCGCCGGUCAGAUUCUCGCCUCCGUUCCUCUGCGGCCGCCGGAUCUUCGGCCUCGGAUUGGCCGGACUUGGGAUGGCGGGAGGAACGCGACGGGACAUCGCUGAAGCAGAAGAAAAAACCGGAAGACAAACAAGAUGGAUAAGAGAAAACUUACUGAUUGGGAUAAAGGGAAGAUGGUUGUGAAAGGCGUGAAACGAACCUGCGAGGGGGUCGGUUGAACGACCACCUUGGAGGGGAAAUCAGGUUUCCCCGGGAUGGUUCCGUCUCCCCCGUCUUGCGGAGCCGCUUCUUCUUGCGCUCCGUCUCGGGCUGUGAUGUCGGCGCGGCCCCCUCCGGGCGCCUGCGGCUGGCACGCACCGCCCCGUCCCCUCGGGGAGGAGAUGGGGGAGGUGUUCCUCCCUGUUUCCUCUUCCCCCGGGCGUCGGCAGGGCGGUUGCUCCCCGAGCCCCCGUCGCGGGGCCCAGAAGCACGGCCCCCUCCUGAGGUUGAUUCUUCCUGGCGGCUCCCGCCGGCGCCGUCGUGGCCCUUAGGAGCCACCUCCUC